Molecule: long non-coding RNA, 2401 nt
Organism: Gallus gallus (chicken)
Lineage: Eukaryota; Metazoa; Chordata; Aves; Galliformes; Phasianidae
Exons: 2
Source: RefSeq, a predicted model, not a curated record
CCAAAGCCUUCUCUUCUCCAAGCUAAGCAAUCCCAGUUUCCUCAACCUUUCCUCAUAGGAGAGGGGCUCCAGCCCUCUGAUCAUCUUAGUGGCCCUCCCCUCUGGACUUGCCCCAGACUGCAGCAGGAAUGACAAGCUCCAGUAGAGCCUUGCUUGCGGAUGCUGUCGUGAACUCGGGGUCCUGAAGCAGGAAGAAUAGCAAACAAACAACCCAAAGAGCUGCAGAGAGCACUUUAUGCACACUGUUGCAUUGGACUGCUCAAGACUUCAAAAAUAGUGACAGCUGACAAGGUCAUUAAGCCUUAGGGUCUUUUUUAUUCCAGAAUAGCGUAGCUUUAUUUGCCUCCCUGGUUUUAACCGGAAGAGUUGGGUGGUGCAUACGUGGGCCACUUUCGUGCCCCCACUUUUGAUACAUUUGGCGUUGAUUUUUCUUGCUACUCUAGACAUCACAACCAACAUCCUCAUUAGAAGCAAAAUAAGAGCAUAAAUAACCUAAUGGGGUUAUUAGCCCUGGAUUGCUUCAUACAGAAUGAAGUAAAGCAAGCAUGAUAUUAAAAAGAACAGAGCAGGAAUACAAAGGGAGGGAGAGAGAGAGAGAGAGAUAGAGAUCAGAUAGAAUUGAUUAGUUCCACAAGUAAACUAAGAGAUUAUGACACUGAAGUGACUGCACUACUGAGAGGUUAUUAGAAAAUGAGAGUCAUUUGCAGCUGCUGGCAAGACCAGAAACAACAACGGUGGUGAGAGAGACACAGAAAUCCCAGGGAAGCAGAACUUCAGGCUUCAGAUUUGCUGAAUUUGAUUUAAAAAAACUCAAGAGUUCGGCUGGUGGAGCAAUCUGACACUGGAGAUUGCCAGAACUGCUGGAAGCCACGAGCACCUCUCGGAACGGGAUGCUUGCAAUUAUGAUUUAUGUGUUUGGAUGGGAUACGCAGCUGUUCUUUGAGGCCAGGAAGAAAUUUGCUUUAAAUCUGAAGCCUUCCACAGAUAAUCUGCUUCAGAGUGCUGAUCUGUAUGCUUUGGAAAUGUUACGUUAUUUAUAUGAAAUAUAAAAAAAUUCAUAAUUUUAAGGUUUUACUCCUACAAGACAAGAGAUGGUGGAGCCAUCAUCAGAACACGGCAAGAAAUCUCUGGCCAGAGACUGGUACCACAGAGCUCUGCUUUAUGUGAUCUUCAGCAAAAGGAAAGCAGCUCUGUCCAGAGGAGCACUCUGGAAACAUCACCCUGAUGAGGAGAGAGCUGGUACCCCUUUAGCAUUUCAUGUGCCACCCUAAUCUUGGCUGCAAAUCUACAAAUGAGGAUUUCAACCCGGUCACCACUGAAAGUACCAACUCACUUCAUAAAAGACUUAGAACCAGCAAGGAGUCCUUAUGUGACACACUGAUAGCACAGGAACUUUUCUGAACAGGGUGCAGAAUUCUGAGUUAAUGAACUGGAAAAACCAUCUGCUGGUCCAAAUGCUGCGCUUGUGCUUUCAGCAUGAAAAUUACUGAAGUAAUAAUACUUUUGCCUAUCCCGUGUCAGUGUGGGAUAGACUUGGCAGUGCCCGUGAAGAGAUAGACCCUUACAAUGCAGGAAUUACCAGCCUGGGUUUGCCAAGCCCCAACCUGUUUCCAGCACCACCCUUCUGCAGAAUUCCCUGCCUCUUUCUUGUCCCCUUCCCACUCUUCCACUUCAUUCACCUUGGAGGCAUUAGACAGGCACCCCUCACUCGGCUCCUCUGAGCCUGGAAGACAACCAUAACUCCCUACUGAUCAGGAGCAGUGAGAAUUAAUGAAAAUUUAGUUAACUAAAUUAACUAAUGCACUCCGAACCACUUAGAUGCAAAUGCAGAGCUGAAGUAGAGCUCUAUUGCCUUCAAAAGGAUGAUCUAAACUGCAGAAGCCCUACUCAGCUCAUCUGAGACCAUGCUAGCCUUGCCAGCAUGAGGCUGGCUCUGCAGGUGGCCCGGCAGGUUGCUGUGAUAAAGAGCCAUUCAUCCUGCUGCAGGGCCAGCAAGAUUUACCAAGACAACAUUGCUUGUAAAGAAAACAGUAAAACUACCUCCUGGGAAAGAGCACAGCGUACAGUGGGAGAGUUAGGACUAUCUGCAGCAGAAUUACAUCGUCUAGCAAGAGCACCUGGAAGAGUAGAGAGAACUGCCCUAGGAUGUUUAAAUGGCAGAGUCUGACCACUGAUAGUGAACUUGUGGGGAUUCAGGAUCAUAAUAUCUGCAUUUGUCUCAGAAAUGUGAACGUGACAUUUGAAACCGCCGAAUGAAAAUGACAGACUUUAACCUGGAUUUCCCUAAAUUGGAAUAGAUGGUGCAUUUCAUGCUAGAAAUGUUCUGACCAUUAUCUGCUUCUGUGUUUAUUACAUUUUGAUGUGCCUCUGGUAAUGGCUUUAAUAAACUGCCUGGAACAAA